GCGGUCAUGGCGGAAUUGGCAGACGCGCAAGAUUCAGGUUCUUGUGGGUGCAAGCCCGUGGAGGUUCAAGUCCUCUUGACCGCA
RNAcentral lists this transfer RNA (84 nucleotides) under Paenalicyclobacillus ferrooxydans. Its description in RNAcentral is "Alicyclobacillus ferrooxydans tRNA". It matches the Rfam family "tRNA". From Rfam's summary of the family: Transfer RNA (tRNA) molecules are approximately 80 nucleotides in length. The record is from Rfam by way of RNAcentral. Lineage: Bacteria; Bacillati; Bacillota; Bacilli; Caryophanales; Alicyclobacillaceae.